This is a long non-coding RNA of Eriocheir sinensis (Chinese mitten crab), 777 nucleotides long. RefSeq lists it as uncharacterized. The transcript has 3 exons. The record is from RefSeq and is a predicted model, not a curated record. Lineage: Eukaryota; Metazoa; Arthropoda; Malacostraca; Decapoda; Varunidae.
GUGUUUGAAGAUACCCUAAACUUAACCUAACAAAACCCCAAACAGUCACUAUAGGUCUUGACUCAGAAAAUUCAUAUAUGCUUCCUUACUAAUGAGACUUUCUAUACAACAAAGUGAGGUCAUUCUGUGUUGAUUCAUACCAUAAGGUGCUGGCUAUCAUGUGUUUGAAGAUACCCUAAACUUAACCUAACCUAACCUAACAAAACCCCAAACAGUCACUAUAGGUCUUGACCCAGAAAAUUCAUAUAUGCUUCCUUACUAAUGAGACUUUCUAUACAACAAAGUGAGGUCAUUCUGUGUUGAUUCAUACCAUAAGGUGCUGGCUAUCAUGUGUUUGAAGAUACCCUAAACUUAACCUAACCUAACCUAACAAAACCCCAAACAGUCACUAUAGGUCUUGACUCAGAAAAUUCAUAUAUGCUUCCUUACUAAUGAGACUUUCUAUACAACAAAGUGAGGUCAUUCUGUGUUGAUUCAUACCAUAAGGUGCUGGCUAUCAUGUGUUUGAAGAUACCCUAAACUUAACCUAACCUAACCUAACAAAACCCCAAACAGUCACUAUAGGUCUUGACUCAGAAAAUUCAUAUAUGCUUCCUUACUAAUGAGACUUUCUAUACAACAAAGUGAGAUCAUUCUGUGUUGAUUCAUACCAUAAGUUCCUGCCUAUCAUGUUUGAAGAUACCCUGAACCUAACCUAACAAAACCACAAACACAGAUGAUAACACUCACUCAAAUCUAGUUGUACGAAUAUAGGGCUAAAACUAUAUUAACCAUUUU